AUACGUAGGGGGCGAGCGUUGUCCGGAAUGAUUGGGCGUAAAGGGCGUGUAGGCGGCCUGUUAAGUCUGAAGUGAAAGUCCUGUUUUCAAGAUGGGAAUUGCUUUGGAUACUGGCGGGCUUGAGUGCAGGAGAGGUUAUCGGAAUUCCCGGUGUAGCGGUGAAAUGCGUAGAGAUCGGGAGGAACACCAGUGGCGAAGGCGGGUAACUGGACUGCAACUGACGCUGAGGCGCGAAAGUGUGGGGAGCAAACAGGAUUAGAUACCCUGGUAGUCCACACUGUAAACGAUGAAUGCUAGGUGUAGGGGGUAUCGACCCCUUCUGUGCCGCAGUAAACACAAUAAGCAUUCCGCCUGGGGAGUACGGCCGCAAGGUUGAAACUCAAAUGAAUUGACGGGG
This 397-nucleotide ribosomal RNA is filed under the name uncultured bacterium. RNAcentral describes it as "partial 16S ribosomal RNA". It matches the Rfam family "Bacterial small subunit ribosomal RNA", at positions 523 to 918 of the family's 1533-position model. The record is from RNAcentral.